GAAAGAAAGUGAAAGAAAGAAAGAAAGAGAAAGAAAGAAAGAAAGAGAAAGAAAGAAAGAGAAAGAAAGAAAGAAAGAGAAAGAAAGAAAGAGAAAGGAAGGAAAAAUAAUGGUUAGAAAAAUAUAGAAGAAGGGAGAGACAAAAUGAGAAAAAGUGGAAAAAAAAAUACAGUGAAAAUAACUGAGAACUGAGAAAAUAAAUAAAUAAACACUGCUGGAUCACUGAACCAGAACCAGAACAGAAUAAAACCCGCUGCUGAAUGAAUGCAUUUUCUCACAGUAAACAUAGUAAACACUCUGACUCAGAUAUUUGCAGUCCGUUGUUGACAUGUCCCAAACCACACACACACACACACACACACACACACACACACACCUUCCUCCGCAUAUGAUAUGCAUGCUCAUCAUAAAUAAUGGUGCUAGAAAACUCUAAAGACAUAAAUAAACGAGACAAUAAACGAAAAGAUGAGUGAUUAAAUUCAUCCUCAAGAUGUGAUUCAUCAGAGCUGCGAUUGGAAUCGACUGAGAACAAUCCAGAAAAUUCUAUUACCCUCAGGGAAUAAAAAGGAAUUAUAAACAACAGACAAGUAGUCUGGAAUGAGGAUGAAACUAGAGAGACAGAGAAAGAGAUAAUCACAUAAACACACACACACACACACACACACACACACACACACACACACACACACACACACAACGCCUUUCUAACACUAAUAAGAGGAGAAGUGUAGCUUCAACAUUUCAGUGACCAGCUCGAUUAAGCUUUCCGUUCAUCACUGUCACUAAUACAGAGCGGAAAACUACACACACACACACACACACACACACACACACACACACACACACACACACACACCUCUCGAUGGGAGUUUCAACAGAAUCUAGUCAGAUCUCACACUUUCCUGACUCAGGAGACUUAGUGCAAAGUGUGUGUGUGUGUGUGUGACACACUUUAGACCAAUACCUCUCACACUCUGACCACGGCUAAACCCAAUGAGGCUACAACUCGGGAAUUUAGUGUCAUAUUCAAUCACAGAGUGCCAUUAUCAUUCUGUAACUGAAACACACACACACACACACACACACACACACAUCAUGAGAGAGAAGUUAAGAGGUGGUAGUGCAUUAGUGGUAGGUAACUGAACGCUAAUGGAUUCCUUGUGGGAAGAAUGUGUGGUUGGAGAGAAAACCAUACAGAGCCAUUAGCACCUCUGUGAUAGAACACACACACACACACACACACACACUCACACACAAACACACACACACACACACAUGUUCUAUCUUUGUGGUAUUUGCAGUGACUUACCUUUAACCAUAACAUUAACCUCAAUAACUAUAGAGGGGAAUGUGGGCGUGUCAUAGUAGCUUUGAGUGGGCGUGCACCUAAAGGUUAUAAACUGGAAUGUGGGCGUGUCAUAGUAGCUCUGAGUGGGCGUGCACCUAAAGGUUAUAGAAGGGAAUGUGGGCGUGUCAUAGUAGCUCUGAGUGGGCGUGCACUUAAAGGUUAUAGACUGGGAUGUAGGAGUGUCAUAGUAGCUCUGAGUGGGCGUGCACCUAAAGGUUAUAGACUGGGAUGUAGGAGUGUCAUAGUAGCUCUGAGUGGGCGUGCACCUAAAGGUUAUAGACUGGGAUGUAGGCGUGUCAUAGUAGCUCUGAGUGGGCGUGCACCUAAAUGUUAUAAACUGGAAUGUGGGCAUGUCAUAGUAGCUCUGAGAAGGAAUUAUCUUUCGUACAGGGGAAUAAAGAUAGUCAUCUUAAAACGAACAAAUCUUGUCUAAACUCGAAGCCACGCCCACCUGUAACCCACAAAGCCCACCGCUCUACAUCCUGCUACCUUCCGCUAAUUUCCUGAUUGACGUGUUUAUCAAAGCGAGCCCGUUAAAUCAGGUUUCCCUCGUCCUCGCUUCGCUCUUCUCCUCUGAACCUGAUUGAUUCUUAUUUUACUUAAAUAAAACUAACAACAGAACAGAAACAGAGCUCAUUAAUCACAGGAUAAACCAACAGUAAACUCUCCGGGUAAAUCUGGCAGACAGUGAUCGAACCCGCGCUCGAUCGUUCCUCAAAUAAAGCUGCGGUUUCUCUCUGUUCCCUAAACAGGCGAUAGAGAACCGAUUGGAGCGAUACGGCGGGUCGGUGUUAUUAAGAGCGACGGAUCCGGGGCAAAAAAAUUCACAGGUUUCAACCAUUUAUUUAUAAAAAAUAGAGGAAAUGACAGAAGAAUGCUAACUUUAGAUAGAUGAAGAGGGAUUCUGGAAAGAUUUUGGUCUUGUGCAUGGAGUUUAUUGGUAAAAGGGGAGUAAAUAAUUAUUCAUGCACGACACACGACACAGAUAAUCAGUAUAAAUGUAAACAGUGAAGACUGAUGAGCAUAUUGUCGGUGGGAGUGAUUGGGUUCUGAGUCGUUUGUCUUAAUUCGGUUCCGUUCAGGAUGAUCUAUAUAUCCGUUUGUCUGUCUACACCGGGUUCCUGGUUCAUUAGCUUCACCUCCCACAUUCGCACAAAUGAAUUCAUCAACGAUAUGUCACAUGACUGCGGCGUGGUAUAAAUCAGACACGUCGGUUCUGAGUAAUGAUUGGAAUUCUGAUUUUUCUCAGUGAGUCACCGAGAAGAGUCGACUCCCAAAUGAUUCAUUACUGGUUUUUUUUUUUUUUUUCUUUUCUUUGCAAUAUUAUGACCAUUGACUGUUUGUCUCUGCCUAACUAUGGUUGAAAUUGUUCCAUGAAAUCUUAUUCAAAUGACCGAAAUAAUAUUUCUCAGCACUCUAUUAAAAAAAAAAACUGUUUACUAAAAUUGUUUAUUACAAAAAAAUCAACACGGAGUUGACUCGUACAAUAAACAUUAUUGCAUUAAUGUUAUUGUGCUAUUGUGUCUGUGCUUCACUAAGAAAAUUCAUCUCCAUUCAUCCUGAAAAUGAACCGCCUUUGUUUAACACAUUUUUUCACACGACUGAGAGUCAAACACAAGACUCAGGCAAACAAGUAAAGCGGAGUAAAGUGAAGGUGGAGAGAGUGAAGACGGAGUAAAGUGAAGGUGGAGAGCGUGAAGGUGGUGUAAGGUUGAGGUGGAGUAAAGUGAAGGUGGAAAAAUUGAAGAUGGAGGAAGUAAAGUUGGAGAGAGUGACGGUGAAGUAAGGGGAAGAUGGAGGAAGUGAAGUUGGAGAGAGUGAAGGUGGAGGAAGUGCAGUUGGAGAGAGUGAUGAUGGAGAGAGUGAAGGUAGAUAAAGUUUCUAAAGGUGCUCAUUUAUUAUAAGACUAAAGUCAUUUAGUCUUUUUGUGACACGCCUUUUCUGUUUUUAUUUACAAAAACAUUUUAAACUUAUUUAAACCUCUGUGCUGUAAAUACAGCCACGUUGUUGGCGGUGAGUCGUACAGCGUGUUAACAGGUAGGGGUUUUUCGUAUAAUUUAAAUGAUUGAACUUUUUCUCGAUUGCUUAAAACACAUGUAUUGAAAUUAUGCCUGCUUUUCUCGAAACUCUAAACACAAAUCCAUAACUUCUCACCCAAUUCCCCAAACUUCCUAUCUUCAGGUCAGAAUGAAGCUCUCCACUCAAACCCAUUCAAUCUUGCUGAAAAACCAAACUUUGCCCUCAGACAUCACACACAAGCCCUGAAAAACACCCACACUACAAUAUAGUCUUACACACUGGUGAGAUCAAUUCAAAACACACUACAAAAACAGGUAAUAAGGCAUGUUCUUUGUGGUUCUCAACCUCAAUAACCUUUUCACAUGAUAAACAGAAGAAAAGACAAAACAAAUGUAUACAUUUGCACAUUUUUUAUUCCUUAAUACUGUACAGUAUUCUUCCCCAGCAUCCCAUCUUCGGUCUGGGACAGGCCAGAGAAUCUCGUCAACAUGACAGGCUAUAUUGGCCAUAGCCAGGCAGUGGGGGUAAAAUCCUCUUGCAUGCCUGAUCCACCCCUGGCACGCAUCAACUGAAAUGUCUAGGCAGGCUUCUUCCAUGGCCUGGAGGACGCAAACACGGAUGUGAGGUUGUCGGCCAAACAUUUUCCAUCGCCAUGCCGAAAAAAACUCCUCUAUCGGGUUUAGGAAGAGAGAGUAUGCAGGUGGAAAGAUGUUGGACAACGUCGGGUUAUUGAUAAACCAGUCACGAACCAGAGCAGCGCGAUGGAAAUUGAUGUUAUCCCAAACAACAGUGUAGUAGGGUUGCUCUGGUUAUACUGGCUCCCUCUAGUCAAGCUGGAACACAUGCUCUCUUAGACCAUCAAGGAAACCAAAGAAGAGCAUAGUGUUAUAGGGUCCAAGAACGGCAUAGCGGUGGAGUACCCCUCGUUGGCUGAUGGCCGUACACCUAUCGAUGUUCCCUCCUCGCUGGCCAGAGACAUUCACAAUAGCCCAAUGGCCAAUUAUGUUCCUCCCCCUUCUCCUUCUUUUCAAGUUAAAUCCAGCCUCAUCAACCUAGCCGGCCUUCAAUCUCUCUGCAAAACACAUGAAACACAGUAGAGUAAAUGGCUACCCUGUAACACAGGGUACAAACGGCAGACCACCAUUUGUACUUUGUGCUACGGUAUAAACUGCUGUACUACUGUACUGUGUUGGUCUUUCACUCUGUCAUAGUUUCGUUCGAAAGGGACGCGGUAGGCCGGUUCAUCCGGAACCUGUGCUCUCGGAGGAUGCGAUCAAUCGUGCAGAGGCCGAUGGCAUUUAUCCCUCGAAAUCCGUGAUUGUCUUCAAUCACUCUCCUUUGAAUCUCUCACAGGUGGAUUACACUGUUGUCAAUGACCAUAUUUACCAGCUCCCUCUCUUGCUCCUUCGACAAACGCCUUAGCCUGCCUCCACCAGGUGGUCGUCUCUGUGUCUUACAAAAAUAGAAGUACUGAUUACUGUAACUGUAACAUCCCUGCCUCCGUCAUGGUCCGAGAUCUGACACUGGAGAUCCGAGAUCCCUUAUCCGAGUCUGCUUGUCUCCUUGCCCUUCCUUGUUGUUAUCCUCCUCCUCCUCCUCCUCUCCCUACUCCUCCACUCCCCCCUUUCCUCCUCUUUCUACUCCUCCUCCACCACCUCCUC
This is a long non-coding RNA of Ictalurus punctatus (channel catfish), 5028 nucleotides long. NCBI's taxonomy places the organism in Eukaryota, Metazoa, Chordata, Actinopteri, Siluriformes, Ictaluridae. The record is from Ensembl.